GCUACAGAGACUACUAAAGGACC
RNAcentral lists this non-coding RNA (23 nucleotides) under Cricetulus griseus (Chinese hamster). The record is from RNAcentral. Lineage: Eukaryota; Metazoa; Chordata; Mammalia; Rodentia; Cricetidae.